Molecule: ribosomal RNA, 254 nt
Filed under: uncultured bacterium
Lineage: Bacteria
Description: partial 16S ribosomal RNA
Rfam family: Bacterial small subunit ribosomal RNA
Source: RNAcentral
GACAGAGGUGCCGAGCGUUAGGCGGAAUCACUGGGCUUAAAGCGUGUGUAGGUGGAUGCCUAAGUACCUUGUGAAAUCCCACGGCUUAACCGUGGAACUGCUUGGUAUACUGGGUGUCUUGAGCCCAGCUAGGGGGCUACCGGAACAAAUGGUGGAGCGGUGAAAUGCGUAGAUAUCAUUUGGAACGCCAAUGGUGAAAACAGGUAGCUGGGGCUGUGCUGACACUGAGACACGAAGCCAGGGGAGCGAACGGG